GACGAACGCUGGCGGCGUGCUUAACACAUGCAAGUCGAACGGAAAGGCCCUGCUUUUGUGGGGUGCUCGAGUGGCGAACAGGUGAGUAACACGUGAGUAACCUGCCCUUGACUUUGGGAUAACUUCAGGAAACUGGGGCUAAUACCGGAUAGGAGCUCCUGCUGCAUGGUGGGGGUUGGAAAGUUUCGGCGGUUGGGGAUGGACUCGCGGCUUAUCAGCUUGUUGGUGGGGUAGUGGCUUACCAAGGCUUUGACGGGUAGCCGGCCUGAGAGGGUGACCGGCCACACUGGGACUGAGAUACGGCACAGCCUCGUACGGGAGGGAGCAGUGGGGAAUAUUGCACAAGGGGCGGAAGCCUGAUGCAGCAACGCAGCGUGCGGGAUGACGGCCUGCGGGUUGGAUACCGCUUUCGCCUGUGACGAAGCGUGAGUGACGGUAACGGGUAAAGAAGCACCGGCUAACUCCGUG
RNAcentral lists this ribosomal RNA (468 nucleotides) under uncultured bacterium. Its description in RNAcentral is "partial 16S ribosomal RNA". It matches the Rfam family "Bacterial small subunit ribosomal RNA", at positions 28 to 507 of the family's 1533-position model. The record is from RNAcentral.